This is a long non-coding RNA of Girardinichthys multiradiatus, 406 nucleotides long. RefSeq lists it as uncharacterized. NCBI's taxonomy places the organism in Eukaryota, Metazoa, Chordata, Actinopteri, Cyprinodontiformes, Goodeidae. The record is from RefSeq and is a predicted model, not a curated record. The transcript is spliced from 3 exons.
CCGCAUUGUAAGGUUACAAUGUUUCACAAAAUAUCUUACAGUGAGGAAAAGGCGGCGACUCUCUGCUCUGUAUACCAGGGCGAAGCUUGUUAGAGAUUUAAUGAAUGAGGCAGCGUUGAUGGUAGAGCAGAUUCCAUCCAGACCCGGACAGCAACAGCGCAGACAGAGAGUUUCUCUAUCCUUACAUGACCAUCGUAGCCUUAACGCUUUUUGGCUGCAUGCCCGACACUGUUACUGAAACACUGUGCUGUCAAGGUAUCCCCUUGCUGCCACACAUCUGUCUACUAUGAAUGGGGCUUCUGCAGCACUGCAAUCAUUUGUAUGCUGAAACAGAGACACCUACAUGGAGGGCAGGGGUACUUGAAGCCCUGAAUAUAGAUACACUGAUUUAUACCUGAAUAAAGGA